ACGAGUAUGGGGACGGCGUAUAUCCGUCUCAAAGAACCAUUCAAAGCUGAAACAAUCAAUCGCGACAAGGUUCACUUCUCCCUCUCCAAAAUGGUCCGAUGGAAAGCCUCAGAAACCAGGCACGUGAAAGCUUGAGACUCGCCAAUCAUAAUAAUGAAAACAUGUUUCUUACUUGAGAGUUGAGACACUCCUUUAUCGAUUCUUCUUGGGUUGUCUCUUGGGUUAAUUAUAUUACCUACCUCUCUUUACAGCAA
Long non-coding RNA from Arabidopsis thaliana (thale cress), 254 nucleotides. RefSeq annotates it as other RNA. NCBI's taxonomy places the organism in Eukaryota, Viridiplantae, Streptophyta, Magnoliopsida, Brassicales, Brassicaceae. The record is from RefSeq. The transcript is spliced from 2 exons.